RNAcentral lists this ribosomal RNA (253 nucleotides) under uncultured bacterium. RNAcentral describes it as "partial 16S ribosomal RNA". It matches the Rfam family "Bacterial small subunit ribosomal RNA", at positions 524 to 776 of the family's 1533-position model. The record is from RNAcentral.
UACGUAGGAUGCAAGCGUUGUCCGGAAUUACUGGGCGUAAAGCGCGUGUAGGCGGCUAAGUAAGUCGGGCGUGAAAUCCCACGGCUCAACCGUGGGAGUGCACUCGAAACUGCAUAGCUAGAGUCCUGGAGAGGAAGGUGGAAUGCUUGGUGUAGAGGUGAAAUUCGUAGAUAUCAAGUGGAACACCGGUGGCGAAGGCGGCCUUCUGGACAGUGACUGACGCUGAGACGCGAAAGCGUGGGGAGCAAACAGG